This is a long non-coding RNA of Xenopus laevis (African clawed frog), 5071 nucleotides long. RefSeq lists it as uncharacterized. Lineage: Eukaryota; Metazoa; Chordata; Amphibia; Anura; Pipidae. The record is from RefSeq and is a predicted model, not a curated record. The transcript is spliced from 5 exons.
CUCUGAAUUAUGGGAAUAAACAUGGUGAUUGCGCUUGAAAUUGCACUUUGCUCACUUUAUUUGCAGUCGUAAAUGACCCCUCCUGUCAGACAAUGACUGGAAUGUAUUGCUGCAGUCCUCAUGAUGGCUCUCAAUAGACACUCUGUAUGCAAAUUGGCUCCCAGAUCAGCCUGAUUUGGCCCAGUACAUGGGAUCUGUACAACAUUUUGAGCAAGAGUAAGAAUCUAUAAUAUGCAUAAUGCACACACCUGCACACAAAACAUGGUCCCCAACCCCCAAAGCAGGUGCUGAUUCACUCUGUUGCCGAUACCAGCUUAUCUCAGUACAAAGUCCAGCUCAUAACUAAAUAAUGACUGCUUCGUACAAACCCUAGGGGAGGGAACACUAAAUGGGCCAGUUGAAAAAACAAGGGGUUCAUGGUGAAAAGUGUACUUCUUUACACAAACGUGUUAUUAGCAAGCAGUUUGUGAUUAAACUAUUAAAUGUGAUACAGCACUUUACUCUGGCUAGGCCUCUUUGUAAACCAAUGACACCACUGGUAUAUCCUGCAAUUAUCUGGUAUAUUGAAUAAAAUAACUAUUAAUAAAAGUGCAUGAGUGUUGUAUACUGUCUGGAACAACAGUGCCCCACAUUUUUUAUGUCUUAAUGCGUACGAUGACCCUCAUUUCCUCAUUUCAUCCUUCGAGGUCAUUUCUAAGGGCGUUUUCACCUUCCUUUUGUUCCGUGAACAAUAAGUAACCCAGUUAGUUAGUUAUCAACCCAGAGGAAACAAGAGGCUGGUUGAUAAUUUAUAGCACCUCAACCAAUUUAAAUGAAAAGUCCAUAUGAAAUGAUUUCAUCCUAGGAGACCCAAAACAGACAUUCCCUGCCAGACUUAAGGCUAGUUGUCAGCCUUUAGGGUGCUAUAGAUGACGACUACAAAGCAAAACAUAUAAAGGAAAAGUAAGCUUUGAACCAUGCUGAAUUUAUUCUAAGAAGUCUGGAAAGAAAAGGAGAAAAGGCACAUUGGAAGAUGGUGCCUGAAUAUUCCAGUGGGGACAGGGCACUUCCUAAUACAAAACCUCUGAAGAAAAUACACCGCAAUAACAGAUGUUUCCAAACCUCUAAGCUGCAUAUUGGGAGUAAAAUUAACACAACAAAAGCAAAAGCUAUCACAUUGACUGCUGUACAGCACAGUCUAUAAUUGCAUCGGAUGGGUUAACCAUUAGAAGUUAAUCAUCACAAAAGGUAGAGGCCGUUUGGUUUAUAAAUGUUCAAAUUAUGGAGGAUGUGGGUAAUUAGUAACCAGCACGAGCCCCCUGAUCCCUUGUGAUCUGCAGAACCCACACUACCUGAAGACAGGGAACUGAGAGCACCCUAAUGAGUGGAAGAAAAGGACAACAACAGCAAACGGACAUCAACAAUAGUAUAACAAGCAAGGCAAAAGGAACAGAUCAUGACUCAACAUAUCCCUGGAUGUGGAUUUUUUUAUACAGCUAAAUACAUAUGCAGGCAGAGAAAAGGAGCAGUGUUACUGAUAUGAAACUUGGGGCCCAUUCCAAGCUGAGCAAUUAUUGCAAAAUGACAAAUAUUGCAAAAAUGGACCAAGUAUAACUGGAUAAACAAAGCUUGAGGUAGAGAAGAAGAAAUGUCUCUUUUACUAUCUUUCCAACUGGCAAGAAAAAUUAGAGGGAUUUGAUGGAGAAAUUGCUCUGCGUUAAACUUGUUUCACAAGCAACCCCUGCCUGAUUUUCCAACUGAGGAUGUAGAAAUGGCCCUAAACUACAGUCAUCCCAAAGGGACAACUUUUCUCAUCCCAGUUGGAGGGAAUACAUAGACUUCCAUGGAAAAAAAUAUGCUUUGUUUAGAGAGUAGGCAUUCUGUGCAACAUUUGGGUGAGGCUGGCAAAUUGGACCACAACAGCAGUAAAGUGGCUGUGAAUAAAACCGGUGUUCCUGAGCUGAUCUGCAUGACCUGUGGGGACCUCCAGUUUGUUCAUCAAAAAGGCGACAGGGCGACAAUCCAUAGUUCUGAGCUCAAUUUCUCCUCCUUGGUUAUCUCCUAUAAAGAAGGAAGGGGAAAUCGGUAAUCUCCCGAUCACCUUUUCUGAAGAGGAGCGUAAGCGGAGAUUCGAACCUCCUUUCUUCUAAUCGGAAAAGAUCUUCUAAUCGGUUUUCUGUUGCUAGGAGCACCGGCCGCGGGGUGUCAGGUAUAAUUCCCAAGGAGGAUUUACACAAGGUGAUGGAUCAUCCUGAGGCAAGUUGCAGCUCUUAGGUUUGGGCUGCUGUGCUUGUUUUCCUAGAGUCAAGGGCUGCCUGAAACAAAGAUGGCUGCUGUCAAACAUGACUUACAGUUUGCUGGUACUGCUAUUGGUGCAUGGUAGCUGCCAAAUUUUUGGAGCGAUUAUGAGCGUUAUUUUUUUGGUGUGGGAAAAGUUAAACUUCAAAAAAGAUGUGUUCAGGCUCGGAUUUGUGGAAAGGCCACUAAGGCCCGGGUCUAUGGUGGCAGGAUUUUAGGGGGCAGCAUGCCGCCCAACCACAUUCACAUUGGUUUGUACGUUUUGGGGCUGCUCAGGAGAUACAAAGGUUUUUUUAAAUUUCCUAUGCGCCAAUCUCCAGUGCUCCUGACCUGAUGAUGAAAAUUUGUGCAGGUGCACGAAUAAAGGAAAGGGGACAGGGAUGUCCUGUCUAGAGGUAAUUAAAGAUUUUUUCUUCUGGAAUACUUAGGUAAUACUUUGUAUUACUAAUAAGCUGUUAUUUUUCCAGAUUGCUUCUUAAGAUCCUCUUGCCAAAAAACAUAGGGUAUCUAAGCACCUACAGUGUAGACCAUGUGAAAAGCCCUUACCUGAUUAUAACAAAAGGCUUUGCAAUUUCUCUGGUUGAUUUUAAAGAUAUGACUAAUGUCCCUGAUUCCUCUAACUGGAUAUGAAGACAUGCAGCAAAUGUUAUCUCAGCUUUAGCCCCUGAAGCUUCUAAUCCUGUUUGUCUGGAUUCUUCUGAUAACUUUUUUCAGCAGACUAUUUUCAUAAACUGACGAGGGCCACACCAUACGGAUCUCAAUCUGCAGAGAAUACAGGCGGAACCAGCGGGUUGGGCAGGUUCAGGCUGACCUCGCACCCCCUUUUUUGCAGGUGUUGGGCAGGUCCGGGUUGAGCUCUUCUUCCUGCUCUCCCCGCCCGCCACCUUGCACUGCCGACUUCCGGACUCCUUUUUUAUAGAUGCGCGCCUGAUCGCCCCCACCUUUUGUGACAUCAUUGGCGGGACGGUACGGGUCUAUAAAUGGAAGCCGGAAGUCGGACUAGGGAGGGCAGGUUAGGGUCGGGUGCAGGUUUGGUUUUACCCAACCAGCACAUCACUAGCUGAGACCUAGCCUCUGAGAUUAUACCUUGUUGCAGUUCAUUCCACACCUGCAUAACAUACUCCGGGCUUGUUACAUAGUUGCUGGUCUCCAGCCACUGGGAUCCAUACAUUGUUGCCACUUGUUCCCACGCCUCAUAACACAAGUGGAGAACCACUAUGGAUUCCCUGGAUGGAACGGAGUCUCAGACAUCUCAGCCUUAAGACCUAAAACCUUUCCUGUGCACCCCGUCAUGAAGGUGGAUGUAGCUACUGGAAGACUAACAAAAUCAUUAUCCCUGUGGAAUAUGGUUCUGGUCUCAUGGACCCCAUAGAUCCCAGUAGGAGGGAGAUUGUUAUUUUCUUCAGGAAUAGGGAUGGGCAAAUUUUUUCGCCGAAAAAAUGACGCCCAUAGACUUGUAUGGCGUUGUGCGUCAAAAUAAAAAGACGUGCGUUAAAAAAAGUUCGCCGCGCGAACUUUUUGACGCUCAUAGACGCCCAUAGACUUUAAUGGAUGUCGGCGACAUUUCACCAGCGUCGAAUUUUUGGCGAAAUUCGCCCAUCCCUAUUCAGGAAUGUAAUUUUUUUAGGCUUGCUCCUCAAAAACUUGUUAUCACCUCCCCAAACUCUUCUCUAAAACAACUGCCCUUCUCAAAAUCUCAACAGGGUACUGAUUCAAUUGUAUUCUUAGUACCCAAACCCAAUGGAAGUUUUUGGACUAUUGUAGAUUUAAGGAUGUCAACCAGUUUUUCAGGAAGAAAACUUUUUGAAUGGAGAACAUGAGGUCUGUGACAAACGUCCUCGACAAGGGUGAUUACAUAUUAUCCUUUCCAUUGCAAAGAAGCCUGGCGUCACGUUCACAUCUAUUGUCCUCAGAGAAGGUUUCAUCUCAUUGCUGGUUUACCUCAAAGCAAUUCUACAUCACCUACAGUUCAGGGUGGUACCUUUCAGAAUUACUACUACACGUGCAUAGUCAGUGGUAACAGUUCUGAGGAAGGGAUGGAUCACAGUAGUUUCAUAUCUCGACAUCUGGCUAGUCUUAGCAGUCUCAGCAUAUCUGCUAAAGAAACAUCUAGACAGGGCCAUAUCUCACAAUUAGGUUGGAUCAUAAACCGAUAGAUUUCUUCUUAACCUAGUCAGGUCCAUCUAGUUCCUGGGGUAUAGAGAUUUGUCACAGAUAAGACAGACAAGGUUAUACAAGUAGUAUAUAAUCUUGUCUCCAGUUUCAUCUCUACCUCUCUAGAUUUCUGCCUUAUAGGAUGUAAGGGAAUGAGUACAUUUUAUAUUUAUCAGAAUGUUAUUUUCCCUUAGUACUUUUGGCAGCAAAAUGUUGUCUGCCUGAGGUUGUAAUUGGGUAGCUUCUAUUUAUGGGUGAGUUAUGAUUAACCUUUCUGUUUUCAUUUUUAAUAAAACUUGUCCUACCUAGAAGGGAUUACACAAUACAUCUCUAGGUUUCUUCCAACAUGACUAAGGGAAAAGAAAAGUUUGGGAAGUAACAUAGUAAGUUAGGUUGAAAAAAGACACAAGUCCAUCAAGUUGAACCUUUUAACUCUUUUUUUUUACCAGCCUAACUGCUAGUUGAUCCAGAGAAAGUGAAAAAAAAAAAAAUCUCCCAUUUGCCUUACAGGGGGAAAAAAUUACUUCCUGACUCCAAAUCCAGUUCCUGGAUCAAUUUGUACUAUCAGCUAUCUCCCAUAACCCUGUAUUCCCUCACUUGCUAAAAAGCCAUCCGACCCCUUUUUAAAGCUAUCUUAUGU